Molecule: long non-coding RNA, 398 nt
Organism: Meleagris gallopavo (turkey)
Lineage: Eukaryota; Metazoa; Chordata; Aves; Galliformes; Phasianidae
Source: RefSeq, a predicted model, not a curated record
CCUGGUGCGGUCACGUGACUCACAACAGGAGAGACGCAAUUGGUUCAGUCAGUUCUAUUUGUUACGUUAAUUCUUCAGUCCUUGCUGCCGUUACUAGAUGUUUGAUGUAGUGGAGAAGGAAAUGGAUAAAGUAUGGACGUAGAAAAAUAGCCUUAUCAGUUACAUUUCUACAGUUGAAGUAUCGCUAACAAGGAGCUUUGUCUUCAAAGACACACUGAAUGGAAGAGAGAAGUGAAGAGCCGGACAUAUUGGGACUGACUACGUGAAAAUGACUAUGUCGCAUCAAUACCUCUGCCAUGGAUGGGAGUUGGCAGGAUGCCCUGUCAAACCUUCACCUCAGGAUAAUUUAGUAGAUUUAGUCAUCACAAAAUAAAGGAGUAGUAUGCUGAGGCAGCUCA